UCGUUGGGUAGGGGAGCGUUCUGUAAGCCUGCGAAGGUGGCCUGUGAGGGUUGCUGGAGGUAUCAGAAGUGCGAAUGCUGACAUAAGUAACGAUAAAGCGGGUGAAAAGCCCGCUCGCCGGAAGACCAAGGGUUCCUGUCCAACGUUAAUCGGGGCAGGGUGAGUCGACCCCUAAGGCGAGGCCGAAAGGCGUAGUCGAUGGGAAACGGGUUAAUAUUCCCGUACUUGGUGUUACUGCGAAGGGGGGACGGAGAAGGCUAUGUUGGCCGGGCGACGGUUGUCCCGGUUUAAGCGUGUAGGUGUGUGUUCCAGGUAAAUCCGGUUCACUUUAACACUGAGGCGUGAUGACGAGGCACUACGGUGCUGAAGCAACAAAUGCCCUGCUUCCAGGAAAAGCCUCUAAGCAUCAGGUAACACGAAAUCGUACCCCAAACCGACACAGGUGGUCAGGUAGAGAAUACCAAGGCGCUUGAGAGAACUCGGGUGAAGGAACUAGGCAAAAUGGUGCCGUAACUUCGGGAGAAGGCACGCUGACACGUAGGUGAAGUGAUUUACUCAUGGAGCUGAAGUCAGUCGAAGAUACCAGCUGGCUGCAACUGUUUAUUAAAAACACAGCACUGUGCAAACACGAAAGUGGACGUAUACGGUGUGACGCCUGCCCGGUGCCGGAAGGUUAAUUGAUGGGGUCAGCGCAAGCGAAGCUCCUGAUCGAAGCCCCGGUAAACGGCGGCCGUAACUAUAACGGUCCUAAGGUAGCGAAAUUCCUUGUCGGGUAAGUUCCGACCUGCACGAAUGGCGUAAUGAUGGCCAGGCUGUCUCCACCCGAGACUCAGUGAAAUUGAACUCGCUGUGAAGAUGCAGUGUACCCGCGGCAAGACGGAAAGACCCCGUGAACCUUUACUAUAGCUUGACACUGAACAUUGAGCCUUGAUGUGUAGGAUAGGUGGGAGGCUUUGAAGUGUGGACGCCAGUCUGCAUGGAGCCGACCUUGAAAUACCACCCUUUAAUGUUUGAUGUUCUAACGUGGACCCGUUACCCGGGUUGCGGACAGUGUCUGGUGGGUAGUUUGACUGGGGCGGUCUCCUCCUAAAGAGUAACGGAGGAGCACGAAGGUUGGCUAAUCCUGGUCGGACAUCAGGAGGUUAGUGCAAUGGCAUAAGCCAGCUUGACUGCGAGCGUGACGGCGCGAGCAGGUGCGAAAGCAGGUCAUAGUGAUCCGGUGGUUCUGAAUGGAAGGGCCAUCGCUCAACGGAUAAAAGGUACUCCGGGGAUAACAGGCUGAUACCGCCCAAGAGUUCAUAUCGACGGCGGUGUUUGGCACCUCGAUGUCGGCUCAUCACAUCCUGGGGCUGAAGUAGGUCCCAAGGGUAUGGCUGUUCGCCAUUUAAAGUGGUACGCGAGCUGGGUUUAGAACGUCGUGAGACAGUUCGGUCCCUAUCUGCCGUGGGCGCUGGAGAACUGAGGGGGGCUGCUCCUAGUACGAGAGGACCGGAGUGGACGCAUCACUGGUGUUCGGGUUGUCAUGCCAAUGGCACUGCCCGGUAGCUAAAUGCGGAAGAGAUAAGUGCUGAAAGCAUCUAAGCACGAAACUUGCCCCGAGAUGAGUUCUCCCUGAGACUUAGAGUCUCCUGAAGGAACGUUGAAGACGACGACGUUGAUAGGCCGGGUGUGUAAGCGCAGCGAUGCGUUGAGCUAACCGGUACUAAUGAACCGUGAGGCUUAACCUUACAACGCCGAAG
RNAcentral lists this ribosomal RNA (1739 nucleotides) under Salmonella enterica subsp. enterica serovar Bovismorbificans. RNAcentral's name for it is "partial 23S ribosomal RNA". It matches the Rfam family "Bacterial large subunit ribosomal RNA", at positions 1221 to 2925 of the family's 2925-position model. The record is from RNAcentral. Lineage: Bacteria; Pseudomonadati; Pseudomonadota; Gammaproteobacteria; Enterobacterales; Enterobacteriaceae.